GUCUAUGGCGAUGCCACCCUGAAUGUGUCCGAUCUUGUCUGAUCUCAGAAACUAAGCAAGAUCGGGCCUGGUUAGCACUUGGGGGGGAGACCACCUUAGAAUACCAGGUGUUGUAGGCG
This 119-nucleotide ribosomal RNA is filed under the name Pteropus alecto (black flying fox). The record is from RNAcentral. Lineage: Eukaryota; Metazoa; Chordata; Mammalia; Chiroptera; Pteropodidae.